GACGAACGCUGGCGGCGUGCUUAACACAUGCAAGUCGAACGGAAAGGCCCUGCUUGCAGGGUACUCGAGUGGCGAACGGGUGAGUAACACGUGGGUGAUCUGCCCUGCACUUCGGGAUAAGCCUGGGAAACUGGGUCUAAUACCGGAUAGGAGCCAUUUUUAGUGUGAUGGUUGGAAAGUUUUUUCGGUGUAGGAUGAGCUCGCGGCCUAUCAGCUUGUUGGUGGGGUAAUGGCCUACCAAGGCGGCGACGGGUAGCCGGCCUGAGAGGGUGGACGGCCACAUUGGGACUGAGAUACGGCCCAGACUCCUACGGGAGGCAGCAGUGGGGAAUAUUGCACAAUGGGCGCAAGCCUGAUGCAGCGACGCCGCGUGGGGGAUGACGGCCUUCGGGUUGUAAACUCCUUUCGCUAGGGACGAAGCUUUUUUGACGGUACCUAGAUAAGAAGCACCGGCUAACUACGUG
This 464-nucleotide ribosomal RNA is filed under the name uncultured bacterium. RNAcentral's name for it is "partial 16S ribosomal RNA". It matches the Rfam family "Bacterial small subunit ribosomal RNA", at positions 28 to 507 of the family's 1533-position model. The record is from RNAcentral.